AGGAGCAGCAGGAGGAGAGAGGAGGAGGAGCAGCAGGAGGAGAAGCGAGGAAGAGCAGGAAACAGACAGCUGCACAAUCAGUAAGCAGAGGCAGGGUCCAUCACAGGGGAAGCUGCGCCAGGGAGCCAAGCUGAGAAA
Sander lucioperca (pikeperch) is the source of this 138-nucleotide long non-coding RNA. RefSeq lists it as uncharacterized. NCBI's taxonomy places the organism in Eukaryota, Metazoa, Chordata, Actinopteri, Perciformes, Percidae. The record is from RefSeq and is a predicted model, not a curated record. The transcript is spliced from 2 exons.